RNAcentral lists this ribosomal RNA (253 nucleotides) under uncultured bacterium. RNAcentral describes it as "partial 16S ribosomal RNA". It matches the Rfam family "Bacterial small subunit ribosomal RNA", at positions 524 to 776 of the family's 1533-position model. The record is from RNAcentral.
UACGUAGGGGGCAAGCGUUGUCCGGAAUCAUUGGGCGUAAAGAGCGCGUAGGCGGCCCUGUAAGUCCGCUGUGAAAGUCAAGGGCUCAACCCUUGAAUGCCGGUGGAUACUGCAGGGCUAGAGUCCGGAAGAGGCGAGUGGAAUUCCUGGUGUAGCGGUGAAAUGCGUAGAUAUCGAGAGGAACACCUGCGGCGAAGGCGGGUUGCUGGGCUGAUACUGACGCUGAGGCGCGAAAGCCAGGGGAGCGAACGGG